ACUCCUACGGGAGGCAGCAGUAGGGAAUAUUGGACAAUGGGCGAAAGCCUGAUCCAGCAAUGCCGCGUGAGUGAUGAAGGCCUUAGGGUUGUAAAGCUCUUUUACCCGGGAUGAUAAUGACAGUACCGGGAGAAUAAGCCCCGGCUAACUCCGUGCCAGCAGCCGCGGUAAUACGGGAGGGGGCUAGCGUUGUUCGGAAUUACUGGGCGUAAAGCGCACGUAGGCGGCGAUUUAAGUCAGAGGUGAAAGCCCGGGGCUCAACCCCGGAACUGCCUUUGAGACUGGAUUGCUUGAAUCCGGGAGAGGUGAGUGGAAUUCCGAGUGUAGAGGUGAAAUUCGUAGAUAUUCGGAAGAACACCAGUGGCGAAGGCGGCUCACUGGACCGGCAUUGACGCUGAGGUGCGAAAGCGUGGGAGCAAACAGGAUUAGAUACCCUGGUAGCGACUGA
This 448-nucleotide ribosomal RNA is filed under the name uncultured bacterium. RNAcentral describes it as "bacterial SSU rRNA". It matches the Rfam family "Bacterial small subunit ribosomal RNA", at positions 335 to 803 of the family's 1533-position model. The record is from RNAcentral.